AAUAUUGCGCACUGGGGGAAACCCUGCCGCAGCAACGCCGCGUGAGCGACGAAGGCCNNNGGGUCNUACAGCUCUGACUCGCGNGAANAAAAAUGACAGUACCUCUGGAGGAAGCCCCGGCUAACUACGUGCCAGCAGCCGCGGUAAUACGUAGGGGGCAAGCGUUGGCCGGAUUUACUGGGCGUAAAGGGCGCGUAGGCGGUAGUUUAAGUCAGAUGUGAAAGUCCAGGGCUCAACCGUGGAAUUGCAUUUGAAACUGAAUUACUUGAGUGCAGGAGAGGAGAGCGGAAUUCCUAGUGUAGCGGUGAAAUGCGUAGAUAUUAGGAAGAACACCAGUGGCGAAGGCGGCUCUCUGGACUGUAACUGACGCUGAGGCACGGAAGCGUGGGUAGCGAAC
RNAcentral lists this ribosomal RNA (397 nucleotides) under uncultured bacterium. Its description in RNAcentral is "partial 16S ribosomal RNA". It matches the Rfam family "Bacterial small subunit ribosomal RNA", at positions 360 to 773 of the family's 1533-position model. The record is from RNAcentral.